Molecule: ribosomal RNA, 253 nt
Filed under: uncultured bacterium
Lineage: Bacteria
Description: partial 16S ribosomal RNA
Rfam family: Bacterial small subunit ribosomal RNA
Source: RNAcentral
UACGGAGGGUGCGAGCGUUGUCCGGAAUCAUUGGGCGUAAAGGGCGCGUAGGUGGCCUGGUCAGCGUGCGGUGAAAGCUCGGGGCUCAACCCCGAGUCGGCCGUGCGAACUGCUGGGCUUGAGCACUGUAGAGGCAGGCGGAAUUCCGGGUGUAGCGGUGGAAUGCGUAGAGAUCCGGAAGAACACCGGUGGCGAAGGCGACCUGCUGGGCAGUAGCUGACACUGAGGCGCGACAGCGUGGGGAGCAAACAGG